UCCGGUUUGUCACCGGCAGUCUGGCGCGAGUCCCCAACUUAAUGAUGGCAACACGCCACGGGGGUUGCGCUCGUUGCGGGACUUAACCCAACAUCUCACGACACGAGCUGACGACAGCCAUGCAGCACCGGUGCACCACCCUCGAAGGCUGCCACGUUUCCGUGGCAUGCAGGUGCAUGUCAAAUCUAGGUAAGGUUCUUCGUGUUGCGUCGAAUUAAACCACACGCUCCGCUGCUUGUGUGGGCCCCCGCCAAUUCCUUUGAGUUUUAGCCUUGCGGCCGUACUCCCCAGGCGGUGUGCUUAUCGUGUUAACUAAGGCGCGCACGCAAUUAAGCGCACACACCGAGCACACAGCGUUUACAGCGUGGACUAC
RNAcentral lists this unclassified non-coding RNA (373 nucleotides) under uncultured bacterium. RNAcentral's name for it is "contains 16S-23S intergenic spacer region". The record is from RNAcentral.